GGAGAGGUGUCUGAGUGGUUGAAAGAGCCCGCUUGGAAAGCGUGUGAUCGUCGUAAGAUGGUCCGAGAGUUCGAAUCUCUCCCUCUCCGCCA
This 92-nucleotide transfer RNA is filed under the name Omnitrophica WOR_2 bacterium GWA2_45_18. RNAcentral describes it as "tRNA-Ser". It matches the Rfam family "tRNA". Rfam says of the family: Transfer RNA (tRNA) molecules are approximately 80 nucleotides in length. Their secondary structure includes four short double-helical elements and three loops (D, anti-codon, and T loops). Lineage: Bacteria; Pseudomonadati; Candidatus Omnitrophota. RNAcentral also lists the same sequence under 2 other names. The record is from RNAcentral.